Long non-coding RNA from Rattus rattus (black rat), 359 nucleotides. RefSeq lists it as uncharacterized. The transcript has 3 exons. The record is from RefSeq and is a predicted model, not a curated record. Lineage: Eukaryota; Metazoa; Chordata; Mammalia; Rodentia; Muridae.
UUGGCCUCUAAGUUAACGAAGCUCGGCGGGUGCGUGUGCUGAGCUCUUGGAGUGUAAAGAAUUCACCAGUUCACACUGAAAGGAGCUUGAAAUUCUAAGUCCAGCAGAAGUCAGUUCUGUGAAACUGAAGCUUUGCAUCCUCUGAUGAAAAUCUCCCCGUCUCUUCCGAUGCCUCCUUGUCCCUGGUGACCAACACUCAACUCCCCUUCAAAGUCCGUGGAUUGAGAGUGCUGAGGGAAGCGGCAAAGGGUCAGUGGUAGAGCCAAGUUGAAGAGAGUGGGUCAUCCUGGUGAGCGCUGCAUCCCUUGGAGCCUGUACUGUGGGUGGUUGUGAGCCAUCAGGUGAGUUCUGGGAACUGA